Molecule: long non-coding RNA, 205 nt
Filed under: Glycine max (soybean)
Lineage: Eukaryota; Viridiplantae; Streptophyta; Magnoliopsida; Fabales; Fabaceae
Description: long non-coding RNA (GMAX_LNC003623)
Source: RNAcentral
UUGGUGCUUUUGUUGAGUCAAACUCAAGAAAGAAGCAGUGUAUGAGCUCGAUAAUGACAUCAUAAAGGCUAAACAUUGUUGGGUCUCGAAUCAAAUUUGUUGAGUCCGCUCUCAAAAAUCAAGAGACUUUGCUUCGAUCUCAUGAGACGAUACUUAGUGAACAUACGACUUAGGAGAAUGGUCAUUCAACUAAGUUUAAUUCUCU